Oncorhynchus masou masou (cherry salmon) is the source of this 462-nucleotide long non-coding RNA. RefSeq lists it as uncharacterized. The record is from RefSeq and is a predicted model, not a curated record. The transcript has 3 exons. Lineage: Eukaryota; Metazoa; Chordata; Actinopteri; Salmoniformes; Salmonidae.
UGGUCAUACUACAGACAGAAGACUUUACCCCUGCCUGGAUUGGAGGAUUUGACGCUGUUCAGAACCGAGUGACGGCUCCAGAUUUGACUACAGGAACUGGCUCACAGGAGAACCCAAUAAUGUUGGUGGCAGAGAGCCAUGCAUGAUGAUGAACUAUGGAGGUGAAAAACGCUGGAAUGAUAUUCAAUGUGGAUCUAUAUUUCCAUCUGUGUGCUCCAAAAGGUUGUGUUAAAUCUGCCAUCAUAACAUCAACUGAACCACUUUUUUGUCAUUAAAACUGUACAGUAUUAUUGAAGAAUGUAAAUAUAUGGUAGGCCUAUAGUUUUUGUGAAUCAUAGUCGAGCAUGAGAUUUAAUUGAAGGGUGAUUUUCUAUCAUGUAAAUAGGCUGUCGUCAAAUUUUUUCAAUGAUGCUAAUCAUGUAAAAUGUCAUAGUGAAGUUUUGCUACUAAUAAAUAAUAUCC